GAAAUGCGAUAAGUAGUGUGAAUUGCAGAAUUCAGUGAAUCAUCGAAUCUUUGAACGCACAUUGCGCCCUAUGGUAUUCCGUAGGGCAUGCCUGUUCGAGCGUCAUUUACACCUUCAAGCCUUGCUUGGUGUUGGGUGACUGUGGCCCCUUUGGGGCCACUCGCCUUAAAGUCAUUGGCGGCCGGUUCGUUGGCUUUGUAGCGCAGCACAAUUGCGUCCUCGAAGCCGCUGGACCAGCUCCCAGAAGCUAAUUUUAAAUGUUUGACCUCGCAUCAGGUAGGGAUACCCGCUGAACUUCAGC
Molecule: unclassified non-coding RNA, 301 nt
Filed under: plant metagenome
Description: partial contains 5.8S ribosomal RNA, internal transcribed spacer 2, and large subunit ribosomal RNA
Rfam family: 5.8S ribosomal RNA (bases 1-105)
Source: RNAcentral